UACGGAGGGUGCAAGCAUUAAUCGGAAUUACUGGGCGUAAAGAGUGCGUAGGCGGAAGAGAAAGUCAGAUGUGAAAUUUCGAUGCUCAACAUCGAAGCUGCAUUUGAAACUCCUCUUCUAGAGGGUAGGCGGAGAAAAUGGAAUUCUACAUGUAGCGGUGAAAUGCGUAGAUAUGUGGAAGAACACCUGUGGCGUAAGCGAUUUUCUAGCUUAUUCCUGACGCUAAAGCACGAGAGCAAGGGGAGCAAACAGG
This 253-nucleotide ribosomal RNA is filed under the name uncultured bacterium. Its description in RNAcentral is "partial 16S ribosomal RNA". It matches the Rfam family "Bacterial small subunit ribosomal RNA", at positions 524 to 776 of the family's 1533-position model. The record is from RNAcentral.